This is a long non-coding RNA of Ficedula albicollis (Collared flycatcher), 459 nucleotides long. RefSeq lists it as uncharacterized. The record is from RefSeq and is a predicted model, not a curated record. Lineage: Eukaryota; Metazoa; Chordata; Aves; Passeriformes; Muscicapidae. The transcript is spliced from 3 exons.
AUCUUGGACUGUAUUUUACUCAGCAGCAUCCUCAACAUUUACUCUGCCUAUGACAUCACCUGUGCCAAACUUCCAAGGCUGUUUGGGACAUACAGUUGCCGGUAGGACAUUUUGAAGACAAAAGGCUGUGCAAGUUUAACUUGGAGCAUGAACUGGUGACAGCAAUUUUGUUAUCCGGUAUUGGAGGAGUACUGCAAGGUACCCCAUACAAACAAAGCUUCAUGUGAGGUUUCUGUCCAGAACACUGAAUUGCAGUACAGAGCUGGUGCUUCUGUGGCUGGCAGGAACAUGGCAGUACCCAUGAGGACAGACACUGUCCUUCGGUGGAAAUAUGAGUGCAGGAACAUUAGACUUCUUCAGAGAUUCACCUAAGGACAACUGAAGUACAUGGGAGAGGUUGAAGACCAGGACUUUAAAAAUAUUUUGAGAUUUCAGGGAGAAGACAGUCAAGAGUGUAGA